UACGGAGGAUUCAAGCGUUAUCCGGAUUUAUUGGGUUUAAAGGGUGCGUAGGCGGUCGGAUAAGUUAGAGGUGAAAUCCCGAGGCUCAACUUCGGAAUUGCCUCUGAUACUGUUCGGCUAGAGAGUAGUUGCGGUAGGCGGAAUGUAUGGUGUAGCGGUGAAAUGCUUAGAGAUCAUACAGAACACCGAUUGCGAAGGCAGCCUGCUGGACUGUAACUGACGCUGAUGCUCGAAAGUGUGGGUAUCAAACAGG
This 253-nucleotide ribosomal RNA is filed under the name uncultured Rikenellaceae bacterium. Its description in RNAcentral is "partial 16S ribosomal RNA". It matches the Rfam family "Bacterial small subunit ribosomal RNA", at positions 524 to 776 of the family's 1533-position model. The record is from RNAcentral. Lineage: Bacteria; Pseudomonadati; Bacteroidota; Bacteroidia; Bacteroidales; Rikenellaceae.